UUGAACGCUGGCGGCAUGCCUUACACAUGCCGGUCGAACGGCAGCACGGGUGCUUGCACCUGGUGGCGAGUGGCGAACGGGUGAGUAAUACAUCGGAACAUGUCCUGUAGUGGGGGAUAGCCCGGCGAAAGCCGGAUUAAUACCGCAUACGAUCUACGGAUGAAAGCGGGGGACCUUCGGGCCUCGCGCUAUAGGGUUGGCCGAUGGCUGAUUAGCUAGUUGGUGGGGUAAAGGCCUACCAAGGCGACGAUCAGUAGCUGGUCUGAGAGGACGACCAGCCACACUGGGACUGAGACACGGCCCAGACUCCUACGGGAGGCAGCAGUGGGGAAUUUUGGACAAUGGGCGAAAGCCUGAUCCAGCAAUGCCGCGUGUGUGAAGAAGGCCUUCGGGUUGUAAAGCACUUUUGUCCGGAAAGAAAUCCUUGGCCCUAAUACGGUCGGGGGAUGACGGUACCGGAAGAAUAAGCACCGGCUAACUACGUG
This 485-nucleotide ribosomal RNA is filed under the name uncultured bacterium. RNAcentral describes it as "partial 16S ribosomal RNA". It matches the Rfam family "Bacterial small subunit ribosomal RNA", at positions 30 to 507 of the family's 1533-position model. The record is from RNAcentral.